UACGUAGGGUGCGAGCGUUGUCCGGAAUUAUUGGGCGUAAAGCGCGUGUAGGCGGCAUGGCAAGUCGGGUGUGAAAGCCCUCAGCUUAACUGAGGAAGUGCGCCCGAAACUGCCGUGCUUGAGUGCCGGAGAGGGUGGCGGAAUUCCCCAAGUAGAGGUGAAAUUCGUAGAUAUGGGGAGGAACACCGGUGGCGAAGGCGGCCACCUGGACGGUAACUGACGCUGAGACGCGAAAGCGUGGGGAGCAAACAGG
Molecule: ribosomal RNA, 253 nt
Filed under: uncultured bacterium
Lineage: Bacteria
Description: partial 16S ribosomal RNA
Rfam family: Bacterial small subunit ribosomal RNA
Source: RNAcentral